GCAUGGCGUCCACCACGGCCGGAUGCGCGCAGAAGCGAUCCGCCCAAGCAGCCAGGUUUGGAACCUUCGCCUCGUCAAGGAGCUCGACGCCGGCGAACUUCUCCACCGCCUUAAUCCAUCCGAGGAACGACCCAAGAGCGAUGUCCAGGUAGCCGAUUUUGUCGCCGCCGAAGUAUUUCUUCCCUUGGCUGCACUUGACAAAUGCCUCCUCCAGAUGCUUCAGAGCGGUGGACAUUUCAACCACGGUUCCUCUCCGGCCACGGUUCCUCUCAACACGCGAGUCCCCCGAGGAAACUGCACACAAAUUAUCCAAGAUGAGAGCAAAAUCAUCCGGCUAAAAAGGAUUAAAAAGAAGAAAAAUUCAGAUGAAUUUGCAGUUUGAGGACGCGCGAGACUGUGUCUGUACUUACCUUGUCGUCGAUGUACUGUGCCCAGAACCGCUCGACGGCGCGGCAGUAUGGGUCACGGGGCAGUAUGGCCGGGGCGCCAUCGGAGGCCGGCCAGACCUCGUCGAUGUACUCGACGAUGAUGAGAGACUCGGCGAGGGGCUUGCCGUGGUGGAGCAGCACGGGGAUCUUCUUGUGGACCGGGUUGGACCGGAGCAGCAGCUCGCUCUUCUUCCCCCUCGUCUCCUGCAACAGCUCGUACUCCUCCACGCCCUUCAGCUUCAGCGCUACCACGACGCGCAUCACGAACGGGCUCGUCCAACUGCCGAGCACGCGCACCGCCGCCGCGGGCUCGGCUGAACCGCUCGUCGACGACGAGGACAUUUUUACUCGAUGUGGCCAAGAAACAGAAGCUGCUGGUUUACUCGAGUUCAGUGAGCAGACUGAAGCUGAUGUGUAGUUGUGCACUAGUUUAGUUUAUAUGGACCGCUUUUUUCUUACUACCUCCGUUCCAUUAUAAGUGCAGUUAUGGUUUUUCGCGCCUAACUUUAACCGUCCGUCUUAUUUGAAAAUUUUUUUUAAAAAAAUUUAAAAACAUAAGUCACGAGUAAAAUACUAUUUAUAUUUUAUCAUCUCAUAACAAUAAAAAUACUAAUUAUAAAGAUUUUUCAAAUAAGACAAACGAUUAAAAUUUGACGUGAAAACCUAUGAUUGUACUUAUAAUGAGGCGGAGGUUGUACUAUUGAAAGCUGCUUUGACGUACGUCGUUGCGUGCGUCAUAGUAUGGCACUAUGGUUUAUCUUGGUGUUUGUCACGCUUGGAGCGGACUGGUUAAUUAGCAGUCUAGCAGUGGGCUGAUGUGUCUCUUGAUGUGUUCUCUUUCGUCAUGUGAAGGGGAUUUUCUGUGGUUGUAGCGAUGGAACACAAUCUCCAUGGCCACUAUUUCACACCCUCAAGCGAUUGCUAUGUCCGCGCCGCUGGCCACCUUCUCCAUCAUUAUUAGGUGAGGCCGGAGAUGAACGAGAGGCAGCACUGACGCUGCUCCUCGUCGUCCAGGCAAUGGCCGCGGUCUCCAGACAGGUUUCUCCUGCAGCGUGCGCUAUACCCCGAUGGCACACGCGCGCGCUUGUGUGCUCCUUAUCCUUUUCCUCUCCUCCUGGUAAAUGCCCGUGCCUGCACCCUCUUCCUCUGCUCUUCGAUCCCCAAUGGCACGGACUCGGACACCAGCAUGGUAAUGGCAGCACUGAGUAGCGACACCGGCAAUGGGGCGGAUGGACAGACUCGCCAGUGGUAUGGCAGACGGACAGAUUGAUCGCUGUAUGACGGCCCGAUCUUAGGUCACAAUAUUUUGGACGGAGGAAGUAGCUAUGUAGGAUUAGAUUUGACAUCAUCUGCGAAUCUAAACAACAUGUUCAGCUUCGUAGUGCUAGGUUACGUCAAAUCUAGUUCAGGUUCAUAGUUGUUGGUGAUGUUAAUCCAAUACAUUUUAGAACGGAGGUAAUAUUUUUGAGUUUGACUUGGUGAUGAAAUAAAUUUAAAGCCUGAUUCUUUAAUUCAAUUCUAAACUUUAACUUGCUCAUUUUUCGUUAGCGUAUUUUUUUAACUUAUUAAAUGGUGUAUUUAUUUCAAAAGUUUUCUAUACAGAAGUUGUUAAGAAAAUCAAAUAAAUAUAUUUUUUUCAAGUUUAAAAUAGUUAAUACUUAAUUAGUUGUGUGCUAAUCAGCUUUCUGUUUUGACAUGCGCUGAAAAUCUGGCUCAGUUUGGAGCGAAGGAUUCAAGGAACGCAGUAGGUGCCCGUCAUUAGCACGUGUUUUUUUAGACAAGUCCCAAAAACAACAGUUUGGGAAGACAAAGCGUAGAGGUUACAACAGAUCAAGUGAUUGUAGGGAGGAAGAAAUUACAUGUUUCCAGACCGGGAUUAUGACCCUGUCUUCAGCGUUGAAACGCACAGCCCAAAACUUGAUCUCGUCUUGGCAUUUUCUCAAAGCUGAACCCAGCGAAGGUUGGACGUUCCGAAAAACCACAUCAAUGCCGGUGAACCCAGAGAAAUAUCUUUGCUGGGUCAUUAGCACGUGUUGCUAGCUUCUACUUUCUUUUGGGAGAAAAGAAGGCACAAGGUACGCGUCACUGAUCAGAUCAUCGACGCAAAAUGUUUUACCAGCAGCUGAGCCAAGUAGGACUACGCAAGCACAGGAUGAUAUACUCUCUGCUUUACUCUGUUUUAUCUGAAAAAACACGGAUGUGGAUUUUCAUCCCUCGAGGGGACAUCCCCUUGUUGUUUGCAUGUCAUCUAAAUAGUUAUCAAAAAAAUUGAAAAAAAUUGACAACAUAAAUUAAUACGAAAUAUAUCACUCCACAAACAUGCAAGACCAAAUUCAACUCCUAUAAGUUGCAACAAAAAUAAUAAAUUAAACUGAAAAUAGUUAUGGCACAUUCGCAACUAUAUUUGUUAUUUUUGUUACAACUUGUAGAAGUUCAGUUUAAACUUGUAUGUUUGUGGAGUGAUAUAUUUCAAAUUAAUCUAUGUUGCUAAUUUUUUUCAUAUUUUUAUGACUAUUUAGGUGACAUGCACGAAAAACACUGCAGGCCGAGGCACCGACUAUAUAUAUAUACCGUGUGACUGCGUCCUCGAUACUUCUUCCCAAAGAGAGCGAGCCGAUCGAGCAGAAGAGAAGCCAAAAGCUCCAAUCUUCGAAACGUGCGUAGAACACUCGAUCGCCAUGGCCGGAGGAGGAGAUGAGCUGAAGCUGCUGGGGAUGUGGGCGAGCCCGUUCGCGCUGCGAGCGAAGCUCGCGCUCAGCUUCAAGGGCCUGAGCUACGACUACGUCGAGGAGGACUUCAAGAACAAGAGCGAGCUGCUCCUCAGCUCCAACCCGGUGCACAAGAAGGUUCCCGUGCUCAUCCACAACGGCAAGCCCAUCUGCGAGUCGCAGGUCAUCGUACAGUACAUCGACGAGGUGUUCCCCGACGCCGGCGUCACCCUCCUCCCCGCCGACCCCCACGAUCGCGCCGUCGCUCGCUUCUGGGCCUCCUACAUCGACGAAAAGGUUGUUACGAUGAUCAUGUACUAGUAGAGUACUCUUCUGUUGAUUAUUACUCCCUUCGUAUUUUAAUGUAUGACGCCGUUGACAUUUUAACCAAUGUUUGACCAUUCGUUUUAUUCAAAUUUUUUAUGCAAAUAAAAAAUACUUAUGUCACGCUUAAAGAACAUUUAAUGAUAAAUCAAGUCACAAUAAAAUAAAUGAUAAUUACAUAAGUUUUUUGAAUAAGACGAAAAGUCAAACGUUUGUUAAAAAGUCAACAGCGCCAUACAUUAAAAUACAGAGGGAGUACUUGAUUUUCUCUUGGCAUUUGUGUGAUUGAUUGGUGUAUACGUGUUCUGUGCGUUUGCAGCUGUUCGGUGCGUGGAUUCCGGUGUUCAGAGGCAAGACGGAGGAGGAGAAGGCGGAGGGGGUGAAGCAAACGUUCGCGGUGGCGGAGAAACUGGAGGGAGCACUGAGCGAGUGCUGCAAGGGGAAGCCCUUCUUCGGCGGCGACACCGUCGGCUACGUCGACGUCGUGCUCGGAGGCUUCGUCGCGUGGGUGCACGCCAUCGAAGAGGUGUUCGGCCUGAACCAGUUCGACGCCGCCAAGACGCCGCUCCUGGCGGCGUGGUUGGAGCGCUUCGACGAGCUCGACGCCGCCAAGGAGGCCAUGCCGGACAUCGGCAGGCUGGUCGAGCUCGAGAAGAUGAGGCAGGCACAGGCACAGGCGGCGGUAUAUUGAAGUUUGAGCGCAACUAUAUUUGAUUAUCGUGUGCUUUGAUAUUUUCGCAGUUUUUGGCUGUACGCCUGUACCUCUUAUUGUUUCUGCAACCGUGUUUCAUCAGUUCAUGUUGCCGCACCGUGUAUGUUUCUCCAUGUGUCGCUGAAGUUGCCAACUGGGUAUUCUACAACGUGUUACGUCCAUAUUGGUAUGUUGAUUAGUUUGGAGAUGGAUUUUUAUCUCUCGACCGGACGUUGUCUCAUUUUUACAUAUCACCUAAAUAAUAAUUAUUUUUUAAAAAAAUCUAUAAUAUAGAUUAAUAUGAAAUAUAUCGCUCCACAAAUAUCCAAAGUCAAAUUCGACUUCUACAACUUACAACAAACAUAACAAAUUAAACUGAAAAUAGUUAGUGUACAUUGUCAGUUAUACUUGUUAUUUUUGUUACAGCUCGUAGAAAUCGGAUUUGAGGUUACAUGUUUAUAGGGUGAUAUAUUUCAUAUUAAUCUAUUUUGCUAAUUGUUUUUUCAGUUUAUAGUAUCAUGCAAGAAACGAGAGAUAACUUUUAGAUUAGGUUCAAUAAUAUUUAUUUGAGUGGAUUGCACAUUAGGCUACAUAUAUUUACCUAAGUUUUAAUGGGCCAUCCUCUAACGUGUAGGAAAAUUUCCAGCUAAUUAGGGGUUAAUAUAAUAUAAUUCAAAUUUAAAUUGUUAAGUCAAACCGGGUUUUGGAAGUUGGAAUAACCUUGGUAGCACCAGGAUCUUGCAUGUUGAGAACAAUCCCUGCUCCCGUAGUUCACGUUGUAGUGAUGUCAUACUCGCUAGUCGCUACUACUUGCGAAACAAGAUAUCAGGGAAAUUCAUUAAUUUCAUGAGUUGUUUUUCACAUCAAGUCAAUUAUAGAGAAGUCUAAAAAUCCAUAGGGUUAAGUUCAAUUUUGCCCUACAACUUUGCUCAAAAUCCAUUUUCACCUUUAACUUUGUUUUUCACCUUCAACUUUUAAAACUCAACACUUUACACCCUAAAGGCUUAAACAUAUUUUAGGAUGGUUCUGAUCAAUAUCUAUUGUUUUUUUUCCCUGAGCUUCAUUCAGGUAGGUUUUAUAGUUGUGGACCACUUAUAACUGAUAUCUACAUCAACAAAACUAGCCACAUAUAGUCACGCUUUGCGCGACUUUUGAUCCUGUUUAAGAACUUUUCUAUAUGGUCUAUUUAAGCUUAUAAGAGAGUUUUGACAUAAUAAAUUAAUUUCUUUACGAAGUAUUGAUUUUCCUAGCCAACUAUAGAUUUAACUAAAUUGCACUAUAUAUUUAUAAGAGAAAUCACUAGAAGCCCUGUCACGCCCCGAACUAGUACCGACCGGAACUAGCCCGUGACGCUCCAAAUUAACCUGUUAAUUGAUACCAGUCCCAGGAAACAGUGCUGGUAUCACGGAAGACAGAAUAUCACAGCAACAGAGGUCUCUUUAUUAUAGAGUAGGAGUACAGUCAUGUUGGGCUGCGGACAGAUCCCGAGCUCACAACUGUAUUACAAAAGGGAAACGGAAGCCAAGACUUGGGCCAAACAACACAGGCGCGACUUGGGAACUAGGCCGAAACCCUAAAACUCAUCGUAGCCGGCUUGCUCCUGGAAGAACUCCUCAUCAGCAGGAUCCGCUUCAUCUUCUUCAGCAACUGGGGGGAUUAUUUAUAUAGAGCAAGGGUGAGUACAGGAGUACUCAGCAAGCCAUGGGAAAUAAGUGUUUAAUGCAGGCUUCAAGGGAAGGGCUGUUGUUUUUGCGAUUGAUUUUAUUUGAACUCUUUUCUGAAAACAACUAAGUGAGUGCUUCUCAAACGACACGGAUGAGACAGUGCGUCUCGUCCGGUCGGAGUAUGUGCAAUGUAUCAGUCUUUAAAAUUGAUCAAGAUUGGCACCCGGCCAACAACUUUCAAACGGCCACCCAGGCCAACAACUUUCAAACGGCCACCCGGGCCUAGCUGAUCCCAUCAGCUGCAGAUUUUUCAAACAUCGAACCCCUUUCCACAUCAGCAAUUUCACAAGGCAGUAGGCAAACAAAACUACGCUAGGAAUCACCUCACAUCCACCCAUGACCGUGGGCACGGCUGUUCGAACAGUUUGUUAACCUCUGCAGAGGGGUACACUUUACCCACACGACAUUACUAACCCGGAUCACCCAGCCCGUGGGGAUCAGCCACGUCGGGAGACCUCCAAGCUUUCAUGACAAGGCAUUUCCAAAGCCGACACAGGUUUACCAUAUGCCGACGAGAGGGGUCCCAGACCAACAAUAGGUUAGGUCCCAGACCAUACUGUGCCAGGAAGCCCAGGGGUCCUCCCCGACACCACCCCGGCGAAUCCACAUGUCUCUCGGCAUCAAGGCUCCCCUGAUAAGCUAGUUACUCAGCCAGGGGUGUCCCAUUCCACCCAUGUGGUCGUACUUGUCUUAUGUUCGGAUGAAAUUCCAAGGAAACGGUCCUUAAGUGCAAGAGCGGGAAACCGUACACCCGGUACGUUCCCCGGUCCGCGGUUUUAGAAAAUUCAUUUAGUUCGCAAGCACCGACCCAGGUGUCGGGUUUUCCAAGUCUUUUGUAAAACCCAAGUUUUACCCAAGAAGUUUUUCAGAUUUUAAGUUUGAAGGCGACCGUCGAUACUCGUGCAGAGUGCACGAUUUCCGAGGCGCAACUGGGUGGUUACAAGGGAACAUGGCAUAACAAUUAACAAAGGAAGGAUCAAAUGCAACAAACUAGGUAGGUCCGCCAAUCUGCCUUGCAGACGGGACAAACAGAUUAAGUGCGAUCCUAUCAAUGCAUAAUAUUUUUCAAGCAACAUAAUUAAAUUCAGAUAUAGGCUCAAGAUGUUCAAAGGUGGCUUGCCUUGCUCGAGAUCUGGAGCUUGAUCUUCGAAAUCCUCGCACUGCGGGUCUUCGGGCUCCGAAACUACACGCAAAACGGGACGACUCAACAAACGGCGAAAAUAAAGCCCUAUUAAUGACCUCUAAGCGUGCCAUUAGAUAGAUCUCGAGAUUUGAGGAAUUUUGGAAGUUGAACGGAGUCAAACGGAUUUACGGUUGGGAAGAUAUUGAAUUUCUAAGAUUAUUGGAUUUUUGGUCUAAAGGAAAAGGAUUUAAUUAAAUCCUUUUUGAAAAAGAAAAGAAAAGAGGGAGGGAAAUUAGACUUCCCUCGGGCGGCAAGGGCGCGGCCCGAGAGAAAGGAGGCGGCUCGGCCGAGCUAAAUGGGCCGGCCGGCCCAAAGCGCGCGCGCGGGAGGAGAAGAGAGAGAGAGCCGGUGGACCGAGUCCAUCUCGCGUGGUCCCGGGUGGGACCCGCUUGUCGAUGACACGGUUCACCAUGCGGAGGGAGUACGCGGCGCGGCGCUAGGGUUUGGGGGAGGGACGCGGCGCACGCGCGCGGUUCGCGGUGGACGCGGAUGCGGCGGGCCCACGCGCACGGGGAGGGGCUGACCGGGGUCGGCUCGACCCGGUCUUGGCCGAGCUGGCGCCGACGUGGCGCCUACGUGGCUGCCACGCGGGCCGGCGGGAGGUAGACGACGACGCCGGCCGGAACGGACGGCGGACGACAGCGGCGAGCGGCGGAGCGAACCACGUCUAUACAGGCGAAAACGAGCACACCGGGUGGUUGCACAGGACGAGGGGAGACGAGCCAACGGCUCGGAUUCGCCGGAGGAUGCCCGACGGUGGCGAAUUGCGGCGGCGGCAACCGGCGGUGGGAGAAGGGGGAAACGGCGACGAGGUCACGAGGGGCCGAUUCCCGGCGGCGAGAGCAUCUACGCGGCUACGGGAAUCCGAUGCUAGCGUUGGAUUGGACGGAGCUGCGCCGAGCGAGGCUGGCGAUGAGCAGCGCUUCCGAGCUCGGGCGGCGACGGCGGCGAGCACACGGCGAGCGGCGGCAACGGUCGGGGCGGCGCCGGCUAGCUACGGGGAGGCUACUCGUGCUACUACCCGAGUCUAAGGGGAGGAGAUGGAGCAAGGGGGGAGAACGGGGAGAUGCACUACCGUGCGGGCGGGCGCAGUGACGAGAGGCCGACGGCGCGGGAGUGAUCUCUCCGGCCUCGGGCCGGGGAAGAGGAAGGAGAGGGCGCGCCCGGAGUCCCCCUUCCGCGUCCUUGCUCGUGCCGGCUCCUCCGACACGCGCAACGACGAACGGCGACGGCGAACAGAGCAUGGGAGGCGGCAACAAUGGAGUGGAGGUGAUGGGACAAGGAGAGGAGAAGAGAGGAAGGGCGCCUGGGCUUUAUAGGGCGGCGAUGUCGGUUUGGAAACCGACGUUGGGCGGUCAAGGGAGGGAGCUCGCGCUCGGUGGUCGCGGCCAAAGCGGCGACAGGGGGGGAUGACGCCGGCGGGAGGAAAAAGGGGAAAAGAGGGAGAGAAAAGGGGGCUUGCCCCCUUGCCUCUUCGGGAAAAAGGAGGAGGGAGCGGGGGCGACGUGGCAGAGGGAAGAGGAGCUCUGCCUCCGUCCCUUGGCAGCUUGCGCGUGGAGUGGCGGGGGCCGGGCGAUGACGACGGCGAUGACGGCGGGGCGGUGUGGAGCGGCGGACACGGGCGACAGGCGCGGCAGAGGCUGACGGCGGCGGCGACCAGGCGGUCGGCCACCACGGCACGCGCUCGCGGGAAGCAACGGGCGGCGCGGUGGUUUGAGCGGCGCGGCUCGGGCACGCGCGCUGGCGUGCGGGGCCGAGCGGCUGCGCGGCUACAGGCGCGGCAGGGCAGCGGGGCCGGGCGGCGCAGACGGCGCAGGCGCGGCAGGGCAGCGGCCACGCGGGCGCGCGCACGUGAGGGGGGAGGGCUCGGCUCGGCGCGGCUCACGCGCACGCGCGCGCGGCGCGCGGGCAGAGUGGAGAAGAGGGAGAAAGAGAGAGAGAGAGAGAGACCCGGGGAGGGAGGGGGAGAUGGGCCGAGAGAGAUUCGGCCCAUCGAACCCGAGGGAGGCAAAAUAGACUUUUGCGGAGGAAUUGAUUUGGGAAGGAUUUGGAUUCGGGAUUGAACUCGGCGAUAGAUCGGGGAUUUGAGAUCUGAGAUGGCACGGAUAGUAGACAACAAGCGAAGAAACAAAUUUCGCAAUUAGGGUUUUUUAAGAGAGAAUUUUCCCGCUAGGCGCCACGAUGGAACGGGCGCUACAAGCCCCGUGUUUCUUCUUUCUCUAUCCCCUCUCUUUAUUAUCACGCGUCUAGGAGGAGGUACCAGAAAUCUCUGGAAAUUUCCAUAUGUUUAGCCAACUAUAGAUUUAACUAAAUUGCACUAUAUAUUUAUAAGAGAAAUCACUAGAAGCCCCGUGUUUCUUCUUUCUCUAUCCCCUCUCUUUAUUAUCACGCGUCUAGGAGGAGGUACCAGAAAUCUCCGGAAAUUUCCAUAUGUUUAGCUCAUUUGUGUUUUUUUAAUACAUGUACCAUUUCAAUCGAAUGGCCAUUGUUUAUCCAAAUCCUUUAUCCGACGGCUAAUAUGUUUGUGAUGAUGUGGUGCAUUCUUGUAUAAGAAAGCCUACUACUUUCACUAUAUAAGACUAGAAAAUUAGGCACGCACGUUGGCAUGCCAACUAUUUAGCCCGUGUGCUAGUUAGAGUUAUUUUUAAAAUGCAUGAAAGGCAUAAUAUUUUUAGAAUGCAUGAAAGACAAAAUAUUUGAACAGAUUAGCUAAAAAAUUGUUGACAUGUAUAUUUUUUUGAAACGGUCGAUUUGUCAACCAUCAGAUUCACGUCGAAUGACAAAUGUGAGUUACAUAUAGAUAACUAUAUUAUAGAUAUUCUUUUAAAUGAUAUUCUUUUAUCAACGAUCCUUGUAGCAAAGUCUGUUGCACUUAUGAAAAAUGAAAAACAUCACAUUUUCCAUCCACGCUUUUAAAUUUUCAUAUUUUUUCAUCAAACUCACGAAAUUGAGAAGAUAUAUUAAUUUGGUCAUGAAGGAAGAUACUUAUGAUUCCGACCUUGCUGGUUGAACACAACAUCCACCAAUCGACCAAUCGAUCUCCUUUUUUACUGUUUCUCUGAUGGAAUGAUUAAUUUGAAGGAGAAGAAUGGUUUGGAAGGUUCCGGAUUUGGUCUAAUAUGCUAAUCUCUUUUUUCUAGAUUUACUUUUCUUCUCUCAUGAAUAACUUGGAGAUUUAUUUGAAAAAUUACUGCUAGGUAAAAACCGCCAACUUUAGUAAGAUAGAUAGAUUACUUUAAUAUCUUUGGGGUUUUACUUUAUUACAGAAAUCACGUCUAAUAAUGAAAAACUAUGAAAACUAAAAAAGAGAAGGCCGAAGCCGACGAUGGGCUGGGCGAAGUGUGCGACGGGCGGCCUGAGUAGGCUGACAGAGCGGAGCGGCGGCAAUCGUUUCCUACUCGUCUCUCACUUCUCUGGCAUGUGGGUGGCAGAUGGUGUGGAGCGCGAAGUGGGGUGGAGUGGCCGGAGCAGGCUGGCAGAGCGGAAAGGGACAGGCAACGGCGACCGCUCCCUACUCCUCUCUCCCUUACCCUUUUUGUCAUGUGGGCGGUAGAGGGCGUGGAACGUGGAGCGGUGGGAGCGGAAGAUGACGAAGCCGAAGCAGAAAAACACGGAGUGGAGGUCAUCGACUUCGAUGCUCCAACCGAGGCCGUGGAUGAAGAGUGUCCUAGUCGCGGGGUCGCCCUUCGCCGCGCGCCACACUGUCGCCAUCUUUGCGAUGUCCUCAACGUCGUCGUCCCCUCUGGCAUCAUCCUCCCCCUUGACGUUUGCCCUCCGCUCUUGGCUCCGUGGGGUUGUCGGUGAUGGAAAGUAGAUGGUCUCGCGGGGCUUGAGCUCUGAGGAGGGCGUCUCUUGGAGCGGAGCGGGCAGUGGGCGGAGCGGCGGCAUCGCAGGCUCGAUCUCACCGCCCCUACACCAAUCUCCCACCUCCCUCGCCAGCUUCCCCACCUCAUCCCUCUCUGUGCGCGCUUGUCGGUGGAGAACGGAGAGAGCGCCAGUGGAGAGAGAGAAGAUAGAGCUUAGGAGGAUGAGGUGAAGGAUGUGGGACCCACUGGGUCCCACUAUUUUUUGUUUUAUUGUUGGACUGACAUAUGGGCAUCACAUAUUUUUUAAAAAUUCUUUAGUUUUCAAUUUUGCUCGUUUUAUUUUUGGAUCAAAUUGCCACAUAAACGCCACGUCAAUACCACAUAGGAUGAAGACCUAGUCAAACAAUCCACGUAGGCGCCAUGUCAGCCAAAAUCGAGGUCAAAUACUGCCGAGGACCUCGUUUGCACUGGUUUUGUAAGUUGGAGAAUGUGUUGUAUCCAGAUUUCUAAAAUGAGGAUGAAAAUUAGACUGGACGACAAAUUAAGAGACUUAAAGUGAACUUAUUCCUUUUAUCACGUAGCAUGUCAUGGGCGGCUGAAUUGGUCCGCAAGAUGAGUGUGGGGGGAGAUAAGUAUGGCCCAUACCAAGGCACGAGCACGCAGCUUCGAUGGAUCAUGGCCCAGCCAAACACGCCCGCGCGUAGCAACGGAGCAAUGCUAGCGGCGUUUCUCGAAAUUGGGACACGUAGUGUCAGCAAAUUUGACGCCGAUCGAAUCUACCAAUCAGCCUAUUGACCCGCCUCGUAUUACUUAGCCCGUGCAUAAUGUCUAAUAGAUUUUUCAGAAUUGCUACUCUACUGUCGUAAGAAAAGUGAAGGAAAAUCUUUUGAAUUUUUAGCCAUCGGAUGGAUGGUGAGAUUCUCGCGCAUGAUUGGAAAUACUGUCUAAAAGAUUCUCGAAAUUGUUGUUCUACUAUCCUAAGAAAUUUUAAUUUUUAAAUUUAAAUCAUGUCUAAAUACAUUUAAUGAUAAACAAUUCAAUACUAAAUAAUUACAUAAUUUUACUUUUUAGUAAGAUGGAUGUAUUAACAGUGUUAAGAAAAUAGAAGUGUCAAUUUUAUUAAUCUUAGGCGCUGUUAGGCACAUCAGAUCUUAAAUUCAUAGUAGUUCGAAAAGUUUGUAUGUUUGAUUUUGGUGUUUUAAAAUUUCAAAUUUUAUUUAAAAUAGGAAUAUAAUGAUUUAACCAAAUGUUAUAAGCGUAAUCACAAGUAUCCAUGCAUUUGUGAAGUUAGGGAUACCAGACUCUAAAUAAAUCUUAGAUCCAGAGUGUGCUAAAGAGACACCCUAGUUCUUUUUAUAAUUUUGUAAUUGUUCGAUAGUUUUAAUUUUUGAUGACUUGUUUUGCCAAACAUUUCCUAUUUAUUUUUCAUAGUUUUUCUUUUCUUUUUGGUUUUUAUACCGUCAAAGUUGGUUCAGUCCACACAGAUAUAUUACAUGCUCUCGUGGGCCUGUGCCGCUAAAGUGGCUGUUUUUAGCUGAGUCUAACUCCCAUAUAUUUUUCCGCGUGCACACUUUCCAAAUUAUUAAACGGUGUAUUUUUUAAUAUAUAUAUAUAUAUAUAUAUAAAGUUAUUUUUAAAAAUCGUAUUAAUUCAUUGUUACAAAAAAUCUAACACUUAAAUAAAUAUGCGCUAAAGAGUUGAAGGAUCGGUCUGGUACGCCUACAUACACGAAGAAUCUAGAGGAGUGUAACCACGUGAGGUGGCCUGAGAAAUUAAAUCAGCAUGCUAUUCUCCAAAUUUUUGCCACGUGUCACGAAGUUAUUUGGCUACCUAUCCACCAAUCAGCUGGCAAGGAGAUUGGCCAGCUUUAGAUAUGUAGAUAAAAUAAGAUAAGAUAUGUGCAAAAAGAAUGUGAACUAAGAAAACCAUCUCCAUUCAAACAAAACCACUAAAAAUAUAUCCUUAGAGUUUUUUUAAUAUGUUUUCUUAGAAUUUUGGAAAACAAAUUACCGGUUUUGUAUUUCAGAUAGAAAAAUGGACUUUACCUCUAUGCUAUAUCAUUUACAAAUUCGGUUUAUACGCAAAAGAACAUGUAUGAUUACGAAUAAUGUGCGUGUCACAGGUAUAUUUGUUUUUAAAAAUUUGUAUAAAUCAAUUUUUAAACUUGCAAUAGAACAAUUUCUGCGUCUAGAUAGAACAUUCAGAAGGAGUGGAAUAAAAUAAUUUUCUAAAAUCAGGUGCUGGGGGUAUUGUAAUACUACAGGUGUUACUUCACAUCACUGAGGACAUCAAUCAGUGGAGAUUGACAUUUCAAAAAUACAAUUUAGUUUUUCAUUUUUUUUCUAUCCUCUUAUUGAAACAGGUGUUACUACAUCACAUCACGGAGGACGUCAUUCAGUAGAACUUAACCUUCCGAAACACAAUUCAUUUUUUUUUUGAACAUUUUAGUUCUAUCGUACGUUGAUCACCCUACUGUGGGGGAAUAGUUGAAGAAGAAUCCCCGCUGCUACCUUCCUUGUGACCGAGUAGGCUCUUCGGUGGCACACUCUGGCAACGGUAAGGCGAAGGGAUGGGAAGGGAGGCUGCGCGGCGGUGCGCCGCCCGUGAGGACGACGCGGGGGCCCUCGGGUCCUCUUCGUUUCGCACUACCCAGAGAAGAAUUACAUGAACAAAGUAGUAUGACAUAGUUGUUCUUUUAGAUAAUAAAAAUGGUUUACAUACCCGGCUUCUACCCUAAGACACAUAACCAUUGUGCAAUAAAUUAAAAAGAGACGAUAAGUAAUGGGACAAAUCCCCAACACUGCUUUAUUAUUAAAUAAUAGUUUAAAUAAUGUUAAACCAUAUAUAUUCAGGAAGCAAUAUUCUAGUUAACAAAGUAGUAGCACAUACAUAAACAAAGUAGUAUGACACAACUUGAGAGUAGCAGCAAAUUAGGACACAUAAAAUUGUUAUGGGGUGCUUAUUACUCCUUAGAGCAAGUAUAAUAGUGAGCUAUAAGCCUACUAUAAGCUUAUGUGAAGGAGAGAGGUAAACAAAAGAGAAGGGUGUUGGCUCUCAUGCAAGAGCUAGCUUAACACAAGCUUCAAGACAAAUACAUUAAAUGUAUAAGUGAGAGAUAGAGAUAGGAGAAGAAAAUUAUAGCUAAUCUUAUAGCUAAUCUAUUAUAUGUGUUGACUUUAGGAUGGGCUAAUAGUAAGAAGUGGACUAUAUUAUUAUCCUUGCUCUUACAAAGUUACGAUAGUUAUGGGGGCUGAUGGCCACUAAACAGCAUCUUAUUGAUAUGCGUGUUAGUCAAAAGGUCAUUGUUAAUUUAAUCGUUCUUUCACUAAUGACCAUAGUACAGGCAACACGAAGCACGUUGAAACGUACGGUGAAACUCAACCAAUUGGUGAAAGCAGCAUCCGAUCCAUUCCAUCACUUGGGAACAUUCACAGCCCUCAGCAACGCAGCAUGCUGAACCGUGAACUCGACCAACCUAUCGGCGUCAGGCACGACGUCCACCACGGCCGGGUGUGCGCAGAAGCGAUCUGCCCAAGCAGCCAGAUUCGGAACCUUGGUCUCGUUGAGGAGCUCGACGCCGGCGAUCUUCUCCACCGCCCUGAUCCAUCCGAGGAAUGACCCCAGAGCGAUGUCCAGGUAGCCGAUGUUGUCGCCGCCGAAGUAUUGCUUCCCUUGGCUGCACUUGACAAAUGCCUCCUCCAGAUGCUGCAGAGCGGUGGACAUUUCGCCCGCGGCU
This 14600-nucleotide long non-coding RNA is filed under the name Oryza sativa (Asian cultivated rice). RNAcentral describes it as "long non-coding RNA (OSAT_LNC001881)". The stretch from base 902 to 1108 matches the Rfam family "MIR812 microRNA precursor family". Lineage: Eukaryota; Viridiplantae; Streptophyta; Magnoliopsida; Poales; Poaceae. The record is from RNAcentral.